UACGUAGGGGGCGAGCGUUGUCCGGAGUUACUGGGCGUAAAGCGCACGCAGGCGGUCUGCUAAGUUUGGAGUGACAGUUGGUGGCUUAACUGCCAAAGUGCUUCGAAAACUGACAGACUUGAGGGCUUCAGAGGGACACGGAAUUCCGGGUGUAGUGGUGAAAUGCGUAGAGAUCCGGAGGAACACCAGUGGCGAAAGCGGCCACCUGGACUGCACCUGACGCUGAAACGCGAAAGCUAGGGGAGCGAACGGG
RNAcentral lists this ribosomal RNA (253 nucleotides) under uncultured bacterium. RNAcentral describes it as "partial 16S ribosomal RNA". It matches the Rfam family "Bacterial small subunit ribosomal RNA", at positions 524 to 776 of the family's 1533-position model. The record is from RNAcentral.